Molecule: small nuclear RNA, 107 nt
Filed under: Sciurus vulgaris (Eurasian red squirrel)
Lineage: Eukaryota; Metazoa; Chordata; Mammalia; Rodentia; Sciuridae
Source: RNAcentral
GUGCUCAUGUCAGCACUACAUAUGCUAAAAUUAGAACAAUACAGAAAAGAUUAGCAUGGCCCCUGGGCAAGGAUGACACGAAAAUUUGUGAAGUGUUCCCUAUUUUU